RNAcentral lists this long non-coding RNA (1732 nucleotides) under Cricetulus griseus (Chinese hamster). RNAcentral describes it as "lncRNA (ENSCGRG00015040790.1)". The record is from RNAcentral. Lineage: Eukaryota; Metazoa; Chordata; Mammalia; Rodentia; Cricetidae.
GGUUGAGAAGGACACAUUGGGCAUAAGGAAACCACUUGGGAGGCUACCAGGGAAUGUAAUAAAAAGCUCUAGUUACACUCAGAGAUAAAACAAGAUGGACUGUGCCUGGCUUCCGCAGCCCUCCCUAUCUUAAUAUCUUAGUUCACUCUGCUUCUUCCCUGUGGAUACUGUUCUCCCUCAUUCCACCUGUGCCACACUUGAGCCCACAUAUCCACUGAAGUUCAAAUGCUGGUUAACCAUUUCACACUUGGGUGAGAGGAUGCAGCCCAACCUGUCACUCCCCUAAGAGCAUCUAAAGGUGAAUUUCCUCCAAGGUGGAAUCAACUACCCUUUCCCCCACCUCCUCCAAGUAAAGCAGGCACAUAUAGAAUGGUGAUGGAUGUUUCUCCAGAGACUUGAGAACAUUCUCUUAUUUGGCCCAUUAUUUAAAUUUAUUCUCUUUAUAGAACUGAGCAGUUAUAAUGCUGUUCCCUAAGUGUUACGCUUUUCAGUCAAUAUGAGGCUUUGAUUUCAUGCUUGCAAAUCAUGGGCCAAGGGCUGAGCCUCUGAUGUGUGAGUCGCUUCCAUAUAAAUCAGAAGAAAACAUAUAUGAAUGCAGUCUUGAGACCAAGAGUCUCUUCAUAACCACCAUAUAAAACUUAAAAAUAAAAUCUCAGAAAAAUAGGAGGAGCAACCCCUCCAUAAAGACAGAGGAGAAGUGAUGUAAAGUGCCACCAGAAAGAUUUCGGGAGAUGUAACAACCACACACUCAUUGCCCACACGGGAGAAUGACAUUAUAGUUCUUCACAGGAAGGGGCAAUGUUCCCACCACCUCUCUUCCUGCUCAGGAAGUAUUUGUUCUGCAUUCGGAAGUCCCUACAGGUAAGUAUUUGUGAGCAAUGAGCCAUUUCAGGGAAAGAAGAAGUUAGAAUCGCUGGGCUGGGAAGAUGGGGAGAGAGAAAUGAUCUCUACCCAGGGAAAUCACAGACUGUAGCCAUCAGAGAACAGGAUUUUCAUAUAGAUGCUUAUGUCUUAUUCAGACCUCAUCAGGAGACAGAAUUUUUAUGAUUUUGAACUCAUAGUAGAUUGAGAGAGAACUUUCCCUGCAGCUGUAGAGACCUGGGCUCUGAGGUUUGCUUCAUUUUCCUGGUGACUUGGUCACCCUUUGACAAGAGUUGGUGUUUUUAUCUAUUUAUCAUGGUGAAUAUUUUAAGGUUCCUUCUGGAUUUUAUAUUUCAGUUCUGUUACGUGGUCCUUGCUAACAUGUGAGAGCUAGUUUAGCAGCUUCAUAAUCUAUAGACAGCUAAACAAAAUAUUUGCCUGGAGAAUGUUAUUCCGACAUUGAGCUGGGCAGGAAGGUUGGUGGGAUACUGUAGCCAGGGCCUUUCCGCUGGCCCACCUCUAAUUUGUCAGCAUGGGUAAAGUAUGCUCUGCUCUGCUUCACAUCUCCAAGUUUUCCAUAAAGUUAAUUUCUCUGAAGUUGUAGUUAGAGAGAGAGAGAGAGAGAGAUUUUUGGACAAGAGGUAUUUUAUUGAUGUCUUUGUCAGUCCCCUUUGCUUUUACCUCUACCAACCUGAUUUCCAAAUUCUUGUUUCUUUCCUUCUGCCUUUUCCAUGGGAAAGACCUUCUCAUCAAAAAACAUGUUUCAGGCUCUCCACUGAUCUACUUUUUUAAAAAAAUAAUUUGUAUUUAUUUACUUUAUUUUAUGUCUAUAUUUGUGUGUGUGAGGGUGUUGAAUUCCCUGGAACUGGAG